RNAcentral lists this ribosomal RNA (554 nucleotides) under uncultured bacterium. Its description in RNAcentral is "partial 16S ribosomal RNA". It matches the Rfam family "Bacterial small subunit ribosomal RNA", at positions 355 to 900 of the family's 1533-position model. The record is from RNAcentral.
UGGGGAAUAUUGGACAAUGGGCGAAAGCCUGAUCCAGCCAUGCCGCGUGUGUGAAGAAGGUCUUCGGAUUGUAAAGCACUUUAAGUUGGGAGGAAGGGCAGUAAAUUAAUACUUUGCUGUUUUGACGUUACCGACAGAAUAAGCACCGGCUAACUCUGUGCCAGCAGCCGCGGUAAUACAGAGGGUGCAAGCGUUAAUCGGAAUUACUGGGCGUAAAGCGCGCGUAGGUGGCUCGUUAAGUUGGAUGUGAAAUCCCCGGGCUCAACCUGGGAACUGCAUUCAAAACUGACGAGCUAGAGUAUGGUAGAGGGUGGUGGAAUUUCCUGUGUAGCGGUGAAAUGCGUAGAUAUAGGAAGGAACACCAGUGGCGAAGGCGACCACCUGGACUGAUACUGACACUGAGGUGCGAAAGCGUGGGGAGCAAAACAGGAUUAGAUACCCUGGUAGUCCACGCCGUAAACGAUGUCAACUAGCCGUUGGGAGCCUUGAGCUCUUAGUGGCGCAGCUAACGCAUUAAGUUGACCGCCUGGGGAGUACGGCCGCAAGGUUAAAAC